GGCUCCCAGAGAUCCCCAAAGUUGGACUUUAAUCAUCGGGGGGGUCAAGGAGAACCUGGAGAAGCCCCCAAAGGUUGGACGUUGAUCAUAGUGGGGGUCGUGGUCAAGGAGAACUCCCCAAAUUGGACUUUGAGGUUGAGGAGCUCCUGGAGACCCCCAAAAGUUGGACAUUGGUCAUCAAGGUCAAGGAGAACCCCCCAAAAUUGAAUUUUAAUCAUCGGGGGGGUCGAGGAGAACCUGGAGAAGCUCCCAAAAGUUGGAUGUUGAUCAUCGUGGGGGUCAAGGUCAAGGAGAACCCCCCAAAUUGGACCUUAAUCAUUGUGGGGGUCGAGGAGAACCUGGAGACCCCCAAAGUUGGAUGUUGGUCAUCAAGGUCAAAGAGAACCCCCCAAAAUUGGAUUUUAAUCAUCGUGGGGGUCAAAGAGAACCUGGAGACCCCCAAAGUUGGACAUCGAUCAUCGUGGGGGUCAAGGUCAAGGAGAACCCCCAAAAUUGGAUGUGGGGGUCAAGGGGCAAUCUGGAGACCCCCCAAAACUGGACAAGGGGGUUGAGGUGCUCAUGGAGACCCCCCAAGGUUGGACAUUGGCCAUCAAGGGGGGUCCCGGUCAACAAAGACCCCCCAAGGUUGGAUGUUGGCCAUCAGGGGGGUCGAGGUCAACAAAGAUCCCCCAAGGUUGGACAUUGGCCAUCGGGGGGUUGAGGUCAACAAAGACUCCUCAUGGUUGGACAUUGGCCAUCGGGGGGGUCCUGAUCAAGGAGGACCCCCCAAUGUUGGCCGUUGGCCAUCGGGGGUUCGACGUUGACCGUUGGCCAUUGGGGGGUCCCGGUCAACAAAGACCCCCCCAAGGUUGGACGUUGGCCAUUGGGGGGGUCCUGAUCAAGGAGGACCCUCCAAUGUUGGCCGUUGGCCAUCGGGGGUUCGACGUUGACCGUUGGCCAUCACUGGGCUCACGGUCAAUGAAGACCCCCCAGUGUUGGCCGUUGGCCAUCGGGGGGUCCCGGUCAAGGAGGCCCC
Corapipo altera (White-ruffed manakin) is the source of this 1015-nucleotide long non-coding RNA. RefSeq lists it as uncharacterized. The record is from RefSeq and is a predicted model, not a curated record. The transcript has 6 exons. NCBI's taxonomy places the organism in Eukaryota, Metazoa, Chordata, Aves, Passeriformes, Pipridae.